RNAcentral lists this ribosomal RNA (526 nucleotides) under uncultured bacterium. RNAcentral describes it as "bacterial SSU rRNA". It matches the Rfam family "Bacterial small subunit ribosomal RNA", at positions 980 to 1509 of the family's 1533-position model. The record is from RNAcentral.
CUUGACAUCCAGAGAACUUGGCAGAGAUGCCUUGGUGCCUUCGGGAACUCUGAGACAGGUGCUGCAUGGCUGUCGUCAGCUCGUGUUGUGAAAUGUUGGGUUAAGUCCGCAACGAGCGCAACCCCUAUCCUUUGUGCCAGCGAUUCGGUCGGGAACUCAAAGGAGACUGCCGGUGAUAAACCGGAGGAAGGUGGGGAUGACGUCAAGUCAUCAUGGCCCUUACGAGUAGGGCUACACACGUGCUACAAUGGCGCAUCAAAGAGAAGCGACCUCGCGAGAGCAAGCGGACCUCAUAAAGUGCGUCGUAGUCCGGAUCGGAGUCUGCAACUCGACUCCGUGAAGUCGGAAUCGCUAGUAAUCGUAGAUCAGAAUGCUACGGUGAAUACGUUCCCGGGCCUUGUACACACCGCCCGUCACACCAUGGGAGUGGGUUGCAAAAGAAGUAGAUAGCUUAACCUUCGGGAGGGCGUUUACCACUUUGUGAUUCAUGACUGGGGUGAAGUCGUAACAAGGUAGGCGUAGACGU